CUGGUGAUACAAUGUGUUCACAGGAAACCUGAAGCAGAUCAAGGAAAAGCUGGGGGAGAUUAUAUCAUCACUCUUGUCAUGUACAACGCUGUCAACACACCAAAUCAUCUACGGCAGCCAAUCAGGAGAAACAAAGAGACUGAUUUAGCUGACUCAGCAUUGAGAACUGAAGACGUCAGUUAUGGACAAACAGCCAUCAGGACAAGGAGGUCCAGACUUUAAAUCAGAACCUGACAUUGACGGAAUUUAAGUCCACCAGUCCAACCAGUGCAAUCCUGCUGCUGUUCUCCAUCUGAUGCCCCCAACACUUCAGACCAGAGUACAACAUUCACAUGCAUAGAUUUCUCCUUCUUUAACUUGAGUUUUAAAAGUGUAUUUCCUUGUAAAAUAAGCACAGGUAGAAUAAAUGUGUAAUCUUUUUUAUGUCUGCAAUAAGUAAACUUAUUUGAUUGUUUGACCCUGCUGUUGUUCCUGUAGCAGGGAUAUGGUUUCUAAAUAAACCUUUGUCAACA
Oreochromis niloticus (Nile tilapia) is the source of this 512-nucleotide long non-coding RNA. RefSeq lists it as uncharacterized. The record is from RefSeq and is a predicted model, not a curated record. Lineage: Eukaryota; Metazoa; Chordata; Actinopteri; Cichliformes; Cichlidae. The transcript has 4 exons.